This 125-nucleotide small RNA is filed under the name Marmota monax (woodchuck). Lineage: Eukaryota; Metazoa; Chordata; Mammalia; Rodentia; Sciuridae. The record is from RNAcentral.
GCUGGGCGUGGUGGCGAUCAUCUGUAAUUCCAGUUGCUCAGGAGGCUGAGGCAGGAGGAUCACAAGUUCAAAGCUAGCUUCAGCAAAAGUGAGGUGCCAAAAAACUCAGUGAGACCCUGUCUCUA